Molecule: ribosomal RNA, 468 nt
Filed under: uncultured bacterium
Lineage: Bacteria
Description: partial 16S ribosomal RNA
Rfam family: Bacterial small subunit ribosomal RNA
Source: RNAcentral
GACGAACGCUGGCGGCGUGCUUAACACAUGCGAGUCGAACGGAAAGGCCCUGCUUUUGUGGGGUGCUCGAGUGGCGAACGGGUGAGUAACACGUGAGUAACCUGCCCUUGACUUUGGGAUAACUUCAGGAAACUGGGGCUAAUACCCGAUAGGAUCUCCUGCUGCAUGGUGGGGGUUGGAAAGUUUCGGCGUUUGGGUAUGGACUCGCGGCUUAUCAGCUUGUUGGGGGGGUAGGGGCUGACCAAGGCUUUGACGGGUAGCCGGCCUGAGAGGGUGACCGGCCACAUUGGGACUGAGAUACGGACCAGACUCCUACGGGAGGCAGCAGUGGGGAAUAUUGCACAAUGGGCGGAAGCCUGAUGCAGAAACGCCGCGUGCGGGAUGACGGCCUUCGGGUUGUAAACCGCUUUCGCCUGUGACGAAGCGUGAGUGACGGUAAUGGGUAAAGAAGCACCGGCUAACUACGUG